Long non-coding RNA from Diceros bicornis minor, 1073 nucleotides. RefSeq lists it as uncharacterized. The record is from RefSeq and is a predicted model, not a curated record. NCBI's taxonomy places the organism in Eukaryota, Metazoa, Chordata, Mammalia, Perissodactyla, Rhinocerotidae. The transcript has 3 exons.
CAGAGGUUUCCAACAUGGGAUCAGCUGCUCUCACUUCCCAGCAGAACAUCCAAAGGAUCUGCUUCUCCCUGGAAACUGCUCUCCUACUCCCAAGAGGCCUUUUCCCCAAACCAUGAUGCUGUUUGCUCUUCAGUUCUAUCUUCCUCAGAGUGUUGGGGUGGGAAGGGGUCUCCUCUCACACACAGGAGGGACUGUGCCUCAAAGAGAGAUGAGAGCUCAUCAUCAUCACAGCUCUCAGCCAGUGUUCAGACCCACCGCGGCUGAGCUGUCAUCUAUAUAGAAACUGCCGAGCCAAAAGAUGCGGCUGAAUUGCAGAGAAAUAGAUAGUUCCUUCCCUUUAAAGGAGUUUGAAAAACUUCCAGACUGUGUGCUGGGGAGCAGGAUCCAUAAGUACUCCCUCCCUCCCUCCUUCCUUCCCUCCUUCUCUCUCUCCCUCCCUCGCACCUUCCUUCCUUCUCUCCCUGCCUCCGUCCCUCCCUCCUUCCUUCCCUCUUUUCUCCCUCCUUCCUCCCUCCCUGCCUUUUCAUUCAUUUCAUUCAGCAAGCACUUGAGGGGGAACUAUAUGGGUCUGUCACCAUGCUGGACAGAACUAACCUACUGGAGGAAAGGCCACCCUAUUUCCCUCUGGAUAAAAUACACUUACCUCCCUGGAGAACUUUGAGAGGCAUUUUGUGGGAUCUGCAGCCGGGACUGGUCGUAUGCAUGUCUGUAUGCACUGGAGACAGGACUAGAGGAAUGGCACGGCCUCCGGGCCUGUUUCCCAGCUGGCAAAGGGAGCAGGUAGUGUUGAAGUCAGUCUUAUACCUGUCAUCUUUCUUCCUCUACACUGGGACCUCCUGGGGCGGAGAGACCACACCUCACUCAUUAUGAGCCUCACUGGGGCUUGGCACAGAGUAGGGGCGUUUGCCUGGUCCCUGAAUGAAUGAAUGAAUGGUAGAUGAGCACCUCACACGUCCCUGCCAGCUGACCUUCCCUGCACCAACAUAAGGUGGAAUGUUCCCAGAUGUGAAGCUGGGACAUCGUCUCCUCCCGCCCUCGGACACUGGUGCUCCUGGUUCUUGGGCCUGUGGACU